AGGACGAACGCUGGCGGCGUGCCUAACACAUGCAAGUCGAACGAGGUCCAACUAGUGGCAACACUUGUGAAGACCUAGUGGCGAACGGGUGAGUAACACGUGAGAAACCUACCCCGAAGACCGGGAUAACUCUCUGAAAAGAGUGCUAAUACCGGAUACCCCCAUCUGAUCGCAUGGUCGGAUGAGGAAAUGGAUUCCGCUUCGGGAGGGUCUCGCGGCCUAUCAGCUAGUUGGUGAGGUAACGGCUCACCAAGGCAUCGACGGGUAGCUGGUCUGAGAGGACGAUCAGCCACACUGGGACUGAGACACGGCCCAGACUCCUACGGGAGGCAGCAGUGGGGAAUAUUGCACAAUGGGCGAAAGCCUGAUGCAGCGACGCCGCGUGAGGGAUGACGGCCUUCGGGUUGUAAACCUCUUUCAGCAGGAGAAGCGAAGUGACGGUACUGCAGAAGAAGCACCGGCUAACUACGUGCCAGCAGCCG
This 482-nucleotide ribosomal RNA is filed under the name uncultured bacterium. Its description in RNAcentral is "SSU rRNA". It matches the Rfam family "Bacterial small subunit ribosomal RNA", at positions 26 to 517 of the family's 1533-position model. The record is from RNAcentral.